UUUGCUCAGUGGUUUCCUCUGUAUAAAGGGAGCUCAGGCAGAGGCAGUGUUUUCCCAGGAAGGAGGAACUGCAGUGCUAGCUGCUGGGAGAGGAGCCACUUGCUGCUCGCCUGUGAAACCUCCUGAGAAGCUAGAAAGAUUCACUGUCUGCAAACCUGACUCCUGGUAUACAAUACAGUUACAUUCAUCAUUGGGAUCUUCACCUUUGAACCAAAAGAGAAUUGGAUGUCCUUGGAGUGGCUGCAGGGGAGGCUGCGGCCAGAAAGGCGGGACAGGAGAAGCCUGAGAAGCUGAAGCAAGCUCGAACCACCAGAGCACCCCAAGAAGCAGAGAAACCUGAGAAAACCAAGACUGUUUCUUCCAGUAGCAGAGGGGGAGUGCCAGUCGCAGUGCUGAGAAGCGAUCAGCUGAAGAAGAAGCUGCGACCUCCCAACAAAGCCUACAAAGAUCUCCAAGUUGGGAUUUGCCAUAGCUAGUCAGACAACAAAGAAAGCAUUAGCUACAUCCAUCGAACCUGGAUCAAGUAAACCUAAAGAAACGGCUCCAACUCUUGCUCCAAAAACCCUUUCAGUAGCAGCAGCUUUUAAUGCAGAUGAAGAUAGUGAACCAGAGGAAAUGCCUUCAGAGCAAAGAUGAGGAUGAAAAUAUUGGAAGGGAUACAACAACAUCAGCCGGACCAAACUCUUUUCAAUAAAGGGAAGAUAGGUUUCCUGACAACCAGAAGC
RNAcentral lists this long non-coding RNA (725 nucleotides) under Fukomys damarensis (Damara mole-rat). RNAcentral describes it as "lncRNA (ENSFDAG00000025562.1)". Lineage: Eukaryota; Metazoa; Chordata; Mammalia; Rodentia; Bathyergidae. The record is from RNAcentral.